This 450-nucleotide ribosomal RNA is filed under the name uncultured Glomus. Its description in RNAcentral is "SSU rRNA". It matches the Rfam family "Eukaryotic small subunit ribosomal RNA", at positions 569 to 1025 of the family's 1831-position model. The record is from RNAcentral. Lineage: Eukaryota; Fungi; Glomeromycota; Glomeromycetes; Glomerales; Glomeraceae.
AGCAGCCGCGGUAAUUCCAGCUCCAAUAGCGUAUAUUAAAGUUGCUGCAGUUAAAAAGCUCGUAGUUGAAUUUCGGGACCGAUAUAUCGGUCGUGCCUCGGUACGUACUGGUAUUUUCGGUUUCUCCCUUCUGACGAACCUUGAUGUCAUUAAUUUGGUGUCUUGGGGAAUCAGGACUGUUACUUUGAAAAAUUAGAGUGUUUAAAGCAGGCUCACGCUUGAAUACAUUAGCAUGGAAUAAUGAAAUAGGACGUUUGAUUCUAUUUUGUUGGUUUCUAGGAUCGACGUAAUGAUUAAUAGGGAUAGUUGGGGGCAUUAGUAUUCAAUUGUCAGAGGUGAAGUUCUUGGAUUUAUUGAAGACUAACUACUGCGAAAGCAUUUGCCAAGGAUGUUUUCAUUAAUCAAGAACGAAAGUUAGGGGAUCGAAGACGAUCAGAUACCGUCGUAGUC